Transfer RNA from Ovis aries (sheep), 73 nucleotides. It matches the Rfam family "tRNA". From Rfam's summary of the family: Transfer RNA (tRNA) molecules are approximately 80 nucleotides in length. Their secondary structure includes four short double-helical elements and three loops (D, anti-codon, and T loops). The record is from Rfam. NCBI's taxonomy places the organism in Eukaryota, Metazoa, Chordata, Mammalia, Artiodactyla, Bovidae.
UCCCUGGUGGUCCAGUGGCUAGGACACCACGCUCCCAAUGCAAGGGGCCCGGGUUCAAGCCCUGGUCAGGGAA